Molecule: ribosomal RNA, 686 nt
Filed under: uncultured bacterium
Lineage: Bacteria
Description: bacterial SSU rRNA
Rfam family: Bacterial small subunit ribosomal RNA
Source: RNAcentral
CGGGUUUUAAUUAACUUGGUAACGCAGCUAACGCGUGAAGUAGACCGCCUGGGGAGUACGGUCGCAAGAUUAAAACUCAAAGGAAUUGACGGGGACCCGCACAAGCGGUGGAUGAUGUGGAUUAAUUCGAUGCAACGCGAAAAACCUUACCUACCCUUGACAUGUACGGAAGACCGAAGAGAUUUGGUUGUGCUCGAAAGAGAACCGUAACACAGGUGCUGCAUGGCUGUCGUCAGCUCGUGUCGUGAGAUGUUGGGUUAAGUCCCGCAACGAGCGCAACCCUUGUCAUUAGUUGCUACGAAAGGGCACUCUAAUGAGACUGCCGGUGACAAACCGGAGGAAGGUGGGGAUGACGUCAAGUCCUCAUGGCCCUUAUGGGUAGGGCUUCACACGUCAUACAAUGGUACAUACAGAGCGCCGCCAACCCGCGAGGGGGAGCUAAUCGCAGAAAGUGUAUCGUAGUCCGGAUUGUAGUCUGCAACUCGACUACAUGAAGUUGGAAUCGCUAGUAAUCGCGGAUCAGCAUGUCGCGGUGAAUACGUUCCCGGGUCUUGUACACACCGCCCGUCACACCAUGGGAGCGGGUUUUACCAGAAGUAGGUAGCUUAACCGUAAGGAGGGCGCUUACCACGGUAGGAUUCGUGACUGGGGUGAAGUCGUAACAAGGUAGCCGUAUCGGAAGGUGC